CCUACGGGAGGCAGCAGUGGGGAAUAUUGCGCAAUGGGCGAAAGCCUGACGCAGCGACGCCGCGUGAGGGAUGAAGGUCUUCGGAUCGUAAAACUCUGUCAGCAGGGAAGAACGGUCACUGUGCUAAUCAGCAGUGAAUUGACGGUACCUGCAAAGGAAGCACCGGCUAACUCCGUGCCAGCAGCCGCGGUAAUACGGAGGGUGCGAGCGUUAAUCGGAAUUACUGGGCGUAAAGCGCUCGUAGGCGGUAUGUCAAGUCAAGUGUGAAAUCCCCGGGCUCAACGGGGGAACUGCCUUGGAAACUGGCAAACUGGAGUGUGUGAGAGGAUAGUGGAAGUCCAGGUGUAGGAGUGAAAUCCGUAGAGAUCUGGAGGAACAUCAGUGGCGAAGGCGACUAUCUGGCACAUAACUGACGCUGAGGAGCGAAAGCGUGGGGAGCAAACAGGAUUAGAUACCCUUGUAGUC
This 465-nucleotide ribosomal RNA is filed under the name uncultured bacterium. Its description in RNAcentral is "partial 16S ribosomal RNA". It matches the Rfam family "Bacterial small subunit ribosomal RNA", at positions 338 to 795 of the family's 1533-position model. The record is from RNAcentral.